CUUGGUCCAUUAGAGGAAGUAAAAGUCGUAACAAGGUUUCCG
This 42-nucleotide ribosomal RNA is filed under the name uncultured fungus. Its description in RNAcentral is "partial 18S ribosomal RNA". Lineage: Eukaryota; Fungi. The record is from RNAcentral.